RNAcentral lists this transfer RNA (76 nucleotides) under Bacteroidia bacterium. RNAcentral describes it as "tRNA-Thr". It matches the Rfam family "tRNA". Rfam says of the family: Transfer RNA (tRNA) molecules are approximately 80 nucleotides in length. Their secondary structure includes four short double-helical elements and three loops (D, anti-codon, and T loops). Further hydrogen bonds mediate the characteristic L-shaped molecular structure. tRNAs have two regions of fundamental functional importance: the anti-codon, which is responsible for specific mRNA codon recognition, and the 3' end, to which the tRNAs corresponding amino acid is attached (by aminoacyl-tRNA synthetases). tRNAs cope with the degeneracy of the genetic code in two manners: having more than one tRNA (with a specific anti-codon) for a particular amino acid; and 'wobble' base-pairing, i.e. permitting non-standard base-pairing at the 3rd anti-codon position. Lineage: Bacteria; Pseudomonadati; Bacteroidota; Bacteroidia. The record is from RNAcentral. RNAcentral also lists the same sequence under 1 other name.
GCCAGAAUAGCUCAGUUGGUAGAGCAACCGCCUUGUAAGCGGUAGGUCUCCAGUUCGACUCUGGAUUCUGGCUCCA